CGCUGGAAUUGAAAGUGCAUUGUUAUUUUUUAUCUUAAUUUAUCUACUAUACAUUUCUAGGAAAAUGAGUGGUUUCAUCCGCGCGGAGACCGUAUAUAGUUCAUAUUCAUAUUUAGUAGGUGUCGUUUAUUUCAAACACGGUCAAUAGUGGUGCUACGUUCCUUUGAAAAAUUCAACACGGCGCUAAGGAAAAACCUGAAAGGUUUAAGAGACGAAGAAAUUGAGGAUGACCAAUUGAAAUAAAUUCAUACUAACAAGUUUUUAUUGUUGCCAUUUGAUUCAUUAGUAUAGACUAAUGAAAGAAGGUUCUUAAUAUUGAAGACUUGAUCUCUUUGAUAAUACCACAUGUUAAGAUAGUCUGUUAGCUAAAUCCGUUACACAGUGUGCUAGUGGCCUAAAUACAAACGCAUAUGGGAGUUCGAGCUUCGCUCUAACCCAUAUGAAAUUAACUGUCCCCAUAUAUAUCGUAUUUAAUAGGUCACUGGCACACUAUGUAACUAAUAAUAUUACAAUUGUUCUGAUAAGUGUAAGAAUCUAUACUAUUAAACGAGAAGACCUCAUUUGUGUCGCUUCUCUUCCUUCCACAUUAAAUUAAUCAUCAUG
RNAcentral lists this long non-coding RNA (603 nucleotides) under Mytilus galloprovincialis (Mediterranean mussel). The record is from RNAcentral. Lineage: Eukaryota; Metazoa; Mollusca; Bivalvia; Mytilida; Mytilidae.